Molecule: ribosomal RNA, 883 nt
Filed under: Acidimicrobiales bacterium
Lineage: Bacteria; Bacillati; Actinomycetota; Acidimicrobiia; Acidimicrobiales
Description: partial 23S ribosomal RNA
Rfam family: Bacterial large subunit ribosomal RNA
Source: RNAcentral
CCAAGCUACGAAGAGCCAAUGGUGAAUGCCUUGGCGCCGAACACCGAUGAAGGACGUGAUAGGCUGCGAUAAGCCACGGGGAGCCGCCGAAUAGGCUUUGAUCCGUGGAUAUCCGAAUGGGGAAACCCGGCACCUUUUAUCGGGUGUCACUCCUGCCUGAAUCUAUAGGGCAGGUAGAGGGAACGAGGGGAAUUGAAACAUCUCAGUACCCUGAGGAAAAGAAAGCAACAGCGAUUCCCGGAGUAGCGGCGAGCGAAAUGGGAAGAGCCUAAACCGAAUCCGGUGGUAAAGCCUGGUGGCGUUGCCGGAUCGGUGUUGCGGGACAUCCCCGACCGAGCACCAGAUCGGUCAAGGAGUUACAAAGCAGGCAGAUAGCGGAACCGUACAGGAAAGGCGGGCCGCAGAGGGUGACAGCCCCGUACGCGAAAUCUGCUUGCCUCCUGGGAUUGCUCCCGAGUAGCGCCGGUUCCGUGAAGGCCGGCGUGAAUCUGCGAGGACCACCUCGUAAGGCUAAAUAUGUGUCGGCGACCGAUAGCGAACUAGUACCGUGAGGGAAAGGUGAAAAGUACCCCGGGAGGGGAGUGAAAUAGUACCUGCAACCAUUGGUUUACAAGCAGUUGAAGCGCUACUGGGCACUUGUGUCCAAGCGCGACAGCGUGCCUUUUGAAGAAUGAGCCAGCGAGUUACGGUGUGUGGCAAGGUUAACCAGUGAUGGGAAGCCGGAGCGAAAGCGAGUCCGAAUAGGGCGCACAGUCGCAUGCUGUAGACCCGAAGCCGUGUGAUCUAUCCAUGGGCAGGGUGAAGCGGAGGUAAGACUCCGUGGAGGCCCGAACCGACCUAGGUUGAAAACUGGGCGGAUGACCUGUGGAUAGGGGUGAAAGGC